GAAUAUUAGUCAAUGCUCGCAAGAGUGAACUAGCUAACUGAAAUCACAGAAUCCACUACGUGUGGUGACUGUUAUAACGUAAGGGAAAAAAAUGAUGUUACCUUACUAUUAGUGUUGUCCAAAACUGGUGCCAGAAGACUCGGUAAGGCCAGAGACGCAAACGUUAGUCGUCCUAAUCAGGCGUAAAGGGUAUGUAGGCUGCUUUAAAAGUUUUAUCUUUAAUAGCUCUAUAUAAAAACUAAUAUUUUUUAAUAAAGAUAUAAAUUUCUAUAUAGUAAAAUAUAAAAUGAAUUAAAGCUAGGAUCAAAUUGAGGAUAAGUCAAAUAAUGCUUAGUGUAGGGUUUAAAUCUGGUGAUACUAAGAGGAGUACUAACGGUGAAAGCUUUUUAUCUAGAAAUGAUCGACGCUGAGAAACGAAGGUGAGAAUAGGAAAU
Molecule: ribosomal RNA, 434 nt
Filed under: Claudopus sp.
Lineage: Eukaryota; Fungi; Basidiomycota; Agaricomycetes; Agaricales; Entolomataceae
Description: partial small subunit ribosomal RNA
Rfam family: Bacterial small subunit ribosomal RNA
Source: RNAcentral